This 468-nucleotide ribosomal RNA is filed under the name uncultured bacterium. RNAcentral's name for it is "partial 16S ribosomal RNA". It matches the Rfam family "Bacterial small subunit ribosomal RNA", at positions 28 to 507 of the family's 1533-position model. The record is from RNAcentral.
GACGAACGCUGGCGGCGUGCUUAACACAUGCAAGUCGAACGGAAAGGCCCUGCUUUUGUGGGGUGCUCGAGUGGCGAACGGGUGAGUAACACGUGAGUAACCUUCCCUUGACUUUGGGAUAACUUCAGGAAACUGGGGCUAAUACCGGAUAGGAGCUCCUGCUGCAUGGUGGGGGUUGGAAAGUUUCGGCGGUUGGGGAUGGACUCGCGGCUUAUCAGCUUGUUGGUGGGGUAGUGGCUUACCAAGGCUUUGACGGGUAGCCGGCCUGAGAGGGUGACCGGCCACAUUGGGACUGAGAUACGGACCAGACUCCUACGGGAGGCAGCAGUGGGGAAUAUUGCACAAUGGGCGGAAGCCUGAUGAAGCAACGCCGCGUGCGGGAUGACGGCCUUCGGGUUGUAAACCGCUUUCGCCUGUGACGAAGCGUGAGUGACGGUAAUGGGUAAAGAAGCACCGGCUAACUACGUG